Non-coding RNA from Ictidomys tridecemlineatus (thirteen-lined ground squirrel), 10341 nucleotides. The record is from RefSeq and is a predicted model, not a curated record. NCBI's taxonomy places the organism in Eukaryota, Metazoa, Chordata, Mammalia, Rodentia, Sciuridae.
GCAGGGGCGCAGGGCAUGGCAGCGGCUGCUGAGCCAGUGCCCUCUGCCUGGGGUGACGUGGGGCUCCGGCUGGGGCAGGGCUGGGAGCCUGGAAGCAGGCUUCCCGCUGCCUCCUGCGUCCUGCUGCAGAGUGUGGCCGCAGGGAGUCGUGAAGAGCUGGAGUGCAGAGCGUUCUAUAACUACGACGCCAGAGGAGCAGAUGAGCUUUCUUUGCAGAUUGGAGACACGGUGCACAUCUUGGAGACCUAUGAAGGGUGGUACCGAGGCUACACCUUGAGGAAGAAGUCCAAGAAGGGUAUAUUUCCUGCUUCAUAUAUUCAUCUUAAAGAAGCAAUAGUUGAAGGAAAAGGGCAACAUGAGACGGUCAUCCCAGGUGACCUCCCGCUCAUUCAGGAGGUCACCACGACGCUGCGCGAGUGGUCCACCAUCUGGAGGCAGCUCUAUGUGCAAGAUAACAGGGAGAUGUUCCGCAGCGUUCGGCACAUGAUCUAUGACCUUAUUGAGUGGCGAUCACAGAUUCUUUCUGGAACUCUGCCCCAGGAUGAGCUCAAAGAACUGAAGAAGAAAGUCACCGCCAAAAUUGAUUAUGGAAACAGAAUUCUUGAUUUGGACCUGGUGGUUAGAGAUGAAGAUGGGAACAUUUUAGAUCCAGAACUAACUAGCACAAUUAGUCUCUUCCGAGCUCAUGAAAUAGCCUCUAAACAAGUGGAGGAAAGAUUACAAGAAGAAAAAUCUCAGAAGCAGAACAUGGAUAUCAACAGACAAGCUAAGUUUGCUGCCACCCCUUCUCUGGCCUUGUUUGUCAACCUCAAAAAUGUGGUUUGUAAAAUAGGAGAAGACGCUGAAGUGCUCAUGUCUCUCUACGACCCUGUGGAGUCCCAGUUCAUCAGUGAGAACUACCUGGUCCGCUGGUCAAGUUCAGGAUUACCUAAAGACAUAGACAGAUUGCACAAUCUGCGAGCCGUGUUCACUGACCUUGGAAGCAAAGACCUGAAAAGGGAGAAAAUCAGUUUCGUCUGUCAGAUCGUCCGCGUGGGUCGCAUGGAGCUGAGGGACAGCAACACAAGGAAGCUGACCUCGGGGCUGCGGCGACCUUUUGGAGUGGCGGUGAUGGAUGUAACCGAUAUAAUAAAUGGAAAAGUAGACGAUGAAGAUAAGCAGCAUUUCAUUCCCUUUCAGCCGCUCGCGUUGGACGACGCCACCCGACACAAGCCGCUCAACAUGUCAUCCCGUUUUUCACCCAGGGUGGCAGGGGAGAACGACUUCCUGCAGACUGUCAUAAACAAAGUCAUCGCUGCCAAAGAGGUCAACCACAAGGGCCAGGGUUUGUGGGUAACAUUGAAAUUACUUCCUGGAGAUGUCCAUCAGAUUCGAAAAGAGUUUCCUCAUCUGGUGGACAGAACCACAGCCGUGGCUCGCAAAACAGGGUUUCCGGAGAUAAUCAUGCCUGGCGAUGUUCGGAAUGAUAUCUAUGUGACGUUGGUUCAAGGGGAUUUUGAUAAAGGGAGCAAGACGACGGCCAAGAACGUGGAGGUGACCGUGUCCGUCUACGAUGAAGACGGGAAGCGCCUGGAGCACGUGAUUUUCCCGGGUGCUGGUGACGAGGCGAUUUCAGAGUACAAAUCUGUGAUUUACUACCAAGUGAAGCAGCCACGCUGGUUUGAGACCAUGAAGGUGGCCAUUCCCAUCGAGGACGUGAACCGCAGCCACCUCCGGUUUACCUUCCGCCACCGGUCGUCGCAGGACUCUAAGGAUAAAUCGGAGAAGAUAUUUGCACUGGCCUUCGUGAAGCUGAUGAGGUACGACGGGACCACCUUGAGAGACGGGGAACACGAUCUGAUCGUCUACAAGGCCGAGGCCAAGAAACUGGAAGAUGCGGCGACAUACUUGAGCCUGCCCUCCACGAAAGCAGAGCUGGAGGAGAAGGGCCACUCGGCCACGGGGAAGAGCAUGCAGAGUCUGGGGAGCUGCACCAUCAGCAAGGACUCCUUCCAGAUCUCCACACUGGUGUGCUCCACCAAGCUGACCCAGAAUGUGGGCCUCCUGGGCUUGCUGAAGUGGCGCUCCAACACCAGCCUGCUGCAGCAGAACCUCCGGCAGCUCAUGAAGGUGGACGGCGGUGAAGUGGUGAAGUUCCUGCAGGACACCCUGGACGCCCUCUUCAACAUCAUGAUGGAGAACUCGGAGAGUGAGACUUUCGACACGCUGGUGUUUGAUGCUCUGGUUUUUAUCAUUGGACUAAUUGCUGAUAGAAAGUUCCAGCAUUUUAACCCUGUUUUGGAGACCUACAUUAAGAAACACUUCAGCGCGACGCUGGCCUACACGAAGCUGACAAAGGUUUUGCGGAACUACGUGGACAGUGCCGAGAAGCCGGGAGUGAAUGACCAGCUGUACAAAGCCAUGAAAGCGCUGGAGUACAUCUUCAAGUUCAUCGUGCGCUCCCGGGUCCUGUUCAACCAACUCUAUGAAGACAAGGGCGAGGCCGACUUCGUGGAGUCCCUGCUGCAGCUCUUCCGCUCCAUCAACGACAUGAUGAGCAGCACGGCCGACCAGACGGUCAGGGUGAAGGGGGCGGCCCUGAAGUACCUGCCGACCAUCGUCAACGACGUGAAGCUGGUGUUCGACCCCAAGGAGCUCAGUAAAAUGUUCACCGAGUUCAUCCUCAACAUCCCCAUGGGUUUGCUGACCAUUCAGAAGCUCUACUGCUUGAUUGAGAUUGUUCACAGUGACCUCUUCACCCAGCACGACUGCAGAGAAAUCCUGCUUCCCAUGAUGACGGAUCAGCUCAAGUACCACCUGGAGAGGCAGGAGGACCUGGAGGCCUGCUGCCAGCUGCUCAGCAACAUCCUGGAGGUGCUGUACAGGAAGGACGUGGGGCCAACGCAGAGGCAUGUGCAGAUAAUCAUGGAGAAACUCCUCCGGACAGUGAACCGGACCGUGAUUUCCAUGGGGCGGGACUCGGAGCUCAUUGGGAACUUCGUGGCGUGCAUGACAGCUAUUUUACGACAAAUGGAAGAUUAUCAUUAUGCUCACCUGAUCAAGACUUUCGGGAAGAUGAGGACCGAUGUUGUGGAUUUUCUGAUGGAAACCUUCAUCAUGUUUAAGAACCUCAUUGGGAAGAACGUGUACCCCUUCGACUGGGUGAUAAUGAACAUGAUGCAGAACAAAGUCUUCCUGCGAGCGAUUAAUCAGUAUGCAGAUAUGCUGAACAAGAAAUUUCUGGACCAAGCCAACUUUGAGCUACAGCUAUGGAACAACUACUUUCACCUGGCUGUUGCUUUCCUCACCCAAGAGUCCUUGCAACUGGAGAAUUUCUCAAGUGCUAAGAGAGCCAAAAUCCUGAACAAGUAUGGAGACAUGAGGAGGCAGAUCGGCUUUGAAAUCAGAGACAUGUGGUACAACCUUGGUCAACAUAAGAUAAAGUUCAUUCCAGAAAUGGUUGGCCCAAUAUUAGAAAUGACGCUCAUUCCCGAGACGGAACUGCGCAAAGCCACCAUCCCCAUCUUCUUUGAUAUGAUGCAGUGUGAAUUCCAUUCGACUCGAAGCUUCCAAAUGUUUGAAAAUGAGAUCAUCACCAAGCUGGAUCACGAAGUGGAGGGAGGCCGCGGAGACGAGCAGUACAAAGUGCUGUUCGAUAAGAUCCUCCUGGAGCACUGCAGGAAGCACAAGUAUCUCGCCAAGACCGGGGAGACCUUCGUGAGGCUGGUGGUGCGUCUGAUGGAGAGGCUGCUGGACUACAGGACCAUCAUGCAUGACGAGAACAAGGAGAACCGCAUGAGCUGCACCGUCAAUGUGCUGAAUUUCUACAAAGAAAUUGAAAGAGAAGAAAUGUAUCUAAGGUACUUGUACAAGCUCUGUGACCUGCACAAAGAGUGUGAUAACUACACUGAAGCGGCUUACACCUUGCUGCUCCAUGCAAAGCUACUUAAGUGGUCGGAGGACGUGUGCGUGGCCCACCUGACACAGCGGGACGGCUACCAGGCCACCACGCAGGGACAGCUGAAGGAGCAGCUCUACCAAGAAAUCAUCCACUACUUCGACAAAGGCAAGAUGUGGGAGGAGGCCAUCGCCUUGGGCAAGGAACUCGCGGAGCAGUAUGAGAACGAAAUGUUUGAUUAUGAGCAGCUCAGUGAAUUGCUGAAAAAGCAGGCUCAGUUUUAUGAAAACAUCGUCAAAGUGAUCAGACCCAAGCCCGACUAUUUCGCUGUUGGCUACUAUGGACAAGGGUUCCCCACCUUCCUUCGGGGAAAAGUUUUCAUUUACCGGGGGAAAGAGUAUGAACGCAGAGAAGACUUUGAAGCCCGACUACUAACUCAGUUUCCAAACGCAGAGAAAAUGAAGACCACAUCUCCACCAGGCGACGACAUCAAAAACUCGGCUGGCCAGUACAUCCAGUGCUUCACGGUGAAGCCGAAACUCGAUCUGCCCCCUAAGUUCCACCGCCCGGUGUCCGAGCAGAUUGUAAGCUUUUACAGGGCAAACGAGGUCCAGAGAUUCGAAUAUUCCAGGCCGAUCCGGAAAGGAGAGAAAAACCCAGAUAAUGAAUUUGCGAAUAUGUGGAUCGAGAGGACCAUAUACACCACAGCCUAUAAAUUGCCUGGCAUUUUAAGGUGGUUUGAAGUCAAAUCUGUUUUCAUGAUGGAGAUCAGCCCACUGGAGAAUGCCAUUGAGACCAUGCAGCUGACGAACGACAAGAUCAGCAGCAUGGUGCAGCAGCACCUGGACGACCCCAGCCUGCCCGUCAACCCCCUGUCUAUGCUCCUGAAUGGCAUCGUGGACCCUGCUGUCAUGGGGGGCUUCACCAAUUACGAGAAGGCCUUCUUCACAGAUCGCUACCUGCAGGAGCACCCCGAGUCCCUGGCUCAGAUCGAGAAGCUCAAGGACCUGAUUGCCUGGCAGAUUCCAUUUUUGGCCGAAGGGAUCAGGAUUCAUGGAGACAAAGUCACAGAGGCACUGAGGCCGUUUCAUGAGAGAAUGGAAGCCUGUUUCAAGCAGCUGAAAGAAAAAGUGGAAAAGCAGUAUGGCGUCCGCACCAUGCCCUCAAGUCUGGACGACAGAAGAGGCAGCCGUCCCCGGUCCAUGGUGCGGUCCUUCACCAUGCCCUCCUCCUCCCGGCCCCUGUCCGUGGCGUCUGUCUCUUCGCUCUCUUCCGACAGCACCCCCUCCAGGCCGGGCUCCGACGGGUUUGCCCUGGAGCCUCUGCUGCCAAAGAAAAUGCACUCCAGGUCCCAGGACAAGCUGGACAAGGACGACCCAGAGAAGGAGAAGAAGGACAAAAAGAAGGAAAAGCGGAACAGCAAGCACCAGGAGAUAUUCGACAAGGAAUUCAGACCCACCGACAUCCCCCUGCAGCAGUCGGAGGCCGUGAUCCUCUCGGAAACGAUAAGUCCCCUGCGACCCCAGAGACCGAAGAGCCAGGUGAUUAGCAUCAUUGGAAGUGAAAGGCGCUUCUCAGUGUCCCCGACGUCACCGUCGUCCCAGCAAACACCCCCUCCAGUCACACCAAGGGCCAAGCUCAGCUUCAGUGUUCAGUCCAAUCCCGCUCUCCUAGGUCUGGAGCUGAACGGCAUGACCGGGGUGGACGUGGCUGACGUCCCGCCCCCUCUGCCCCUCAAGGGCAGCAUGGCAGACUAUGGGAAUCUGAUGGAAAACCAGGACCUGAUGGGCUCGUCGACACCUCCGCCCCCUCCUCCACACCAGAGGCAAUUAUCUUCUGCUCACUCCAACCGUUAUUGAUCGUGAGAGGGUCGGGGAACUUUCCCUUCAACUCACAAGAGCAGUGUAUUGAGGAGCUGUAUGUACUUCAGGAACUGUGUCCAAGCAGCCACCUCCAAUAGGGACCCAACUUGAGGAAAACGUUCUCCACUCAGGCCUAAUGCCGUAAGGAACGCAUUGGGACUGGCUGAGGUGAGUGUAUUUUGCAUGUGGGAGAAAUAGAAAUAACUUGUAGCCAGGAGGCAGACUAUGUGGGUGUUUUAAAAUCUACCUACCCUCUUUCAAGAUACGUGGUGCCUAAUUUAUCUCCCCUUGAAGACGGACUCAACUCGGUGGUUCCCUUUCACUGAAUAGAACAUGGCAGAAUGAGUGGGUGACUUCUAAGUCUAGGUCAUAAGGAAUCAUUGCACCGUUCCCCUUGGCCUCGCUUGCAUGACUCACUCUAGAAGUAUCUGCCAUGGCAUUAGUAUACCCAAACACCUCCAGGGAACCCCACACAGUGAAGAACCGAAUCCACUUGCCAGAGAACAAUGUUGGCCCCUGACUAUGGCCCUGAGAAUAAGCCCCCUUGUACCGAUAUACACAGUUCAGACAAGCCUCAGAUGACUCUCGCCCCAGCCUGCAUCCUAUGCAGUCUCUGGGAAAUCUCUGAGGCCACAUCACCCACUUAAGUUGCUUCUGAGUUGCUGACCCCCCAAAAUGGGGCAUAAUAAAUGUUUUCUGUUUAAAGCCAAGAAGUGUCAAGAUUACCCAUGUGAUGUGUUGUGUGAAAAACUAAUUGGGACGUUGUCCAUGGGUCUUUGGUCUGAAUUGGAUAAAACCACAUAGAGCCCUUUGGAGUCCGAUGGGCCUCGUAAAUCCAUUUGGAACAAUAGGAUUGGCUGGUUGGUUUAACCUUGGGAGUUGAUAGAUAUGAGUUUUCUCUUUGACUCACUUAGGUUUUCAGUUUCCUGGUGGGUGGAUUUUAAAAUUAUUGUGGCUUAUCUGAGCUUCUGAUUUCUUUUUGAAUUGAUUUUGGUUUAUGUAUAUUUUCCUGAAAAUACGUAUUUCAUUCAAAUUUUAAAAUCUCUCAUCAUAGAAUUCUUUAUAUCCUAACUUUGUGAUUUUAUUCUUUUCUUAUUCAUAAUGAUGUGCUUUUUGUUGCCAAUUGUUUUUCUUAGUUAGAUUUUUCAGAGGAAAAUCUUAUUAAUUUGAAUAGAAACAUUGCUUGGACCCAUCAGUGGUUUGAGCUUUUUUACGUAUGCCAAUUUCAUUAUUUUCUCUUUUUAUCUUGAUUAGUUUUGUUAUCGUGGUUUCCUCAGGUUUCUCUCUCUCUCUCAUUUCUUCAGUCUAACGAUAAGCAUAUUUUUAGCUUUUUAGAUUUAAUAAACAUAUGAGAGUCUGACUUCAUCUUAAUAAGGCUUUGGCUUUUAGAGUUUCACUGUUAUUAUACAAACAUUCUACAAUUGCUGUCUUGGUUUCCUCUUGUCUCAAACAUGUUUAUAAAGUAAAAUCCCUGGUUAAAUUUUUAUUAAUGGGCACUUGUAAUUUUAAUAUACUGAGAACAUGACCUAAGCAUUCUUUAUUUAAAAAAUUAUUUUUAGUUUUUGUACCCAAUCCACAGAUAUUUUUUAAAUAAGGCAUAUUAUCUGGAGAGUAUCAAGUUUUACUUGCACGUUUAUAUGCUACUUUAUAUAUUUUCUUAUGUGUCUGAAAAAGCAUAAACAUAUAAACUAGAAACACUGCCUGCCUAGUCCAUGGCCACCCUGUCCCUCCUGCCUUAAUAUCCCUCUUCCCUGUCCUGCCUGUCUCACAUGUCCAGGCAUCAUUCAGAGCCAAAAUCACACCUUGUCUCCUCUGCAGAGCUUUCCUUGGCUCCAAAUCAUCUGAGUCCUCGCAGUACUCGUGCUGGCGCCCAUUCCUGUGCCUGGAGUGGCCCUCCCCCUGCUGAGGCUGCCUGGGCCCCACCCUGGAGGCUAGGUCUCCCUCCUGUUUGCCUUCCCCAAGAGAGCACCAUGCUCAGCACUGAGCAGCGACCAGCGAGUGUGAAACGCUGAACGCUAAGGUCACGGAUUCCAGUGUCAGUGGGAGACACAUUUUCUUUGUGAAAUGUUUUAUUAAAAAAAAAAAAUACACAGAUUAGCUAACUUUUCAACCAGAGCGUAAAAUGGCUAUUUGUUAAAAUUCCAAUUGUAGUAGGUCCAUUAUGAUGAACCUUUUUCAACUUAGUCUUGUUGAAGUCAUUAUUCCAAUCUGCAAUCCAGGCUGAUAUUUGGAGGUGAAAAAACAUUUUCUGCGUCUCCUGGAUGACCUGGCCCUUUUGGAUAACUGACCAGGUUAACUAACAGCGUGUGCAGAGUAGAUUUAAAAUCCUUAGAAUGUUCAGUUUGCAAGUACUUACCAAGGCUUACCUAGUGGUAUCCAAUGCAGUUCCACAGAGCAUAUGCAAGAUAUUUCCCUUUUUUUUAAAGAGCAAUUUUAAGUUUCACAACAAAAUUGAGCAGAAGGUACUGAGUUUCUGUAUAACUGUUUCAACCAAAUGCAAGGCAUUUUCUAAGAAAGACUACCAUUUUCUUGAUGGUUAUAUGUAGACAAUUGUUACAUAUUGAUAUUCUGGGACUUAGGCUGAACUUUCUUCUCAUCUUGCUACUUAGUCAUUUUCAAGGAUUUUGUUUUAAAUUAUAGAAGUUCCUUUGGGUUUAUUUUCACUCACAAAGGUCCAUGCUUCAAAGAGUGGAGAGUCUGUCGACAUCUUGUCAACUCUGAAUGCCCACUGGGUCAACUCCGCCACUGCAAGAAGCAGUCAGAGACACUAUACCCAGAAAGCGUCUAAUCGUUUCUUGAAAACUUGGCUUGAGAGCUAUUGUUCUGCAAAAAAAGUCAAUGGGCAUGGAGAAUCUCCCGGUGCUCCAUUCUGUUUAUUGUAUUAUGAAGAUGACUUCUAAAUGUCCUCGCAUCAGGCUCCAUCCACAGACACAAGCGAUGGCUCUCGUGGAUCUGGAUAAGUGCAGCAGCCUCCUCCAGAGCUCUCCAGGGAGGGUGGGGGAGCUCCGGGCAGGAAUCUGCCUCGCACCCUCUCUCCACACUCUUCACCAGAAGAUGUUCCCGGAGAGGCAGAAAGAGGUUAAAAUGGUUCAUAAAUUUGUAACAAAUCUGUUGACAAUAACACGAUUCCUGUCAAACUGGAACAGUUAGGAGAUUCUGGGGGGAAAAAAUAGAAGGUACUCUUCGGUUGUUAACUGGUAGCUGAAAAAUUUCUAUUUUUUUUUUAAUCAGGCUUGGCUUAAUUUUUUCCUCCAUAAUUUAGGUAGCUAGAGCUUAAACUAUUUAAAAUAAACAUUGAAGCAAAGAUGGAAUAACCUAAUAAAAAGGUUUAUUCCCUUUAUAUUUUGAAUACCAGGUGCAAAGCUCUCUGUUAAAGCACGUUACCUUUUGGUGGCGGCUGUGGCUACACGCACCAUUAAAGACUUCCCUCGUCAGAGGGACUGCGGAUCCAAGUGUCCUUCCAAAGAGACUCCGCUGUGUUGUUGUGUCAGGAAGGUGAACUAUUCUCUGCCUCGGUUCUCUCAUCGUGGUGCUUGGCUGUUUCCCUCAUGUUUAUGGGUUUAAAGUCUCUGUCAAUCAAAGAGGCAAGACAAACACCCAGAAACGUACCCGGGCAGGGGGCACUCACACGUAUUGGGCACCUCCAAAUGCCAAGGCCCUUCCUGUCCCUUGAUAAUCAUCAUCCUGCUUAACUGUCACCAUAAAACUAGGGUUGGGGUUGCAGAGGUGACCUGGGAGGGCUGAGGGAUUUUCUCAGGUGGCUCCAAUCCUCAGUGGCAAGAAUCACUCAGGUUUCUGUGUAUCCUGGAAACUCUGGUGUUUGACUACUCGGUGUUCCUCCAUUUUCUAUGCGGCUGUGCCAUCUCAUGUAACACCCUCAUUACCCCAGUAUGCAACAGAUGAGAUGAUCAGCUGUCCCUUACUUAAGAUCCUAGUGGCUUAUUUGAAUCCAAACCCCAGGAGUUUGCUGGCCCAGAGAAGUAGAGGCUUCUGCAGCCAGAUCCCUGCUCUGCUCAGCCUUCCAGGGGAGGCAAGAGCCUCAUCCUUAACUCUGCACCACCCCUGCCCCCCGCCAUAUCCUACAAUGUGCAGAGGGACAUUCCAUUGUCACUUGGCUCUGCCACUUGCCCCUCUUCCCAACCAAACCACACCUGAUGCAAAUGCUUGCUCACCUCUCACUGUGUCAACAAAUGUUUCCUCCCUGAUGGGUGUAGAAUUCCUGUCCCUGAGGCCACUAACAAUGAAGAAGGACGGAAGAGGCCAGACACCCAAGGAAUCUUCAGGAGGCAGGUUUCUCUUUAGCUGCAGCAGUUCAGAGGGUCUUAGGCCUAAAAAAAUCUCUGGACCCGGAAUCUCGAAAUUCUCUUAGAUUUAUGCUCAGUGGGGUGGUUGGUUACAUGGCAGUGGGUGGGAACAGCUACCCUUUGUCCCAUAGUUUUAAGCCAGAUGGAGAUUUUAUGAAUUUUCUUUUCUUUUAUUUUUUUCCUGCAAUCCUGGCAUUAAAAAAAAAGAAGAAGAAGCUACAAACCACAACGCCCUCUGCAGAAGUUUCUGCCGAUGUCCUAAUGACACCCUUUGUAAAAAUCUUUCUGAGAAACUUAA